Molecule: long non-coding RNA, 870 nt
Organism: Chinchilla lanigera (long-tailed chinchilla)
Lineage: Eukaryota; Metazoa; Chordata; Mammalia; Rodentia; Chinchillidae
Exons: 4
Source: RefSeq, a predicted model, not a curated record
GCCACCUGGGAGGACGGUGGCCGAGACGGGGGCACCGCUGCGUGGUGGGGCUGGAGAAAGCUUUCAGAUCCGGAACCCGCACCAGAAGGAGCAUGGGAUGGCCUACCUCAGGGGUAGAAUUAAAGGAUUAAAAACAAACGGGGAAGGAACAGAAAGAAGCGCAGAAAUUUUUGUUUUCUGCCACUGCAAGAAAUACUGCUGAACAAGACAUUUCUUCACCAGCCUUGAGGAGAGACAAACAUCAAUAAUGCAGAUGCGAAUGAAGCCAAGUAAUGCUGAAGAGAAAAGAAGAUCCAGAAGCUGUACUUCCAUUUAGAAGAAUAAAUUUAAAAUGGCAAGCUCAAUAAUUCCACUGUGGUGGAGAAUGAGUGUGUUGGUUUUAUAUGUACAUAAAACCUCUCAGAAAAUCACAGAAGAGAAAAUAAGAAAGAAGAAGGAAGAAAGCUGUCAUGAAUCCUGAAGUAUAGGCUUGGUUUUAGCUGGAUAGAGAAAGCAAAGAAGAAGCAGGAUGGAGAAGAAUGGAGAGAGUUUCUAGCGGAGCGGAGAACGCCACUCAACCAUGGCAACACUGAAUUUUUAAAGGAAGAUUUAGAGACUUCUUUGCAAAGCUCAAGCAACCAUUCUCCACUGCGCUGCUUUUCAUGCUUCUUGCUCUUCAAGAGACACCAUCUUAUGUUUCACAUCAGCUCUUUGUCCUGAGAUCACACUGUGCAGCCGGUGAUCCCUGAAGCAUUCCUUCUCCCCAUCCCAUCUCUACUCAAGGUUUUCUUGUCCACCCAGGAAAUGUGUGUGUGUGUUUGGGGGGGUGGGGUGGGGGUGGGGGGGUGUAGGUGUGUGUUUAAUCGUCUCCUCCAAAUUUUGAACAAAAUA